ACUGGGGUGGAUGCCCUAGAAUGGCCGUAAGGGCCUCAACCCUGUCCUCGGGGUGUGUGGGAGCCACCCCUACUUGUGGAAGGUGGAGGAUGUGGGCAAUAAGAUCCUCCGUAAUGAACAGAGGGACACCGGCUACCGUGCCCUCGAUACCCCCAUCUCCCCGAUGGACGGUACCGUAAAACUCUCUAACUAAUCCAGGGUAAGUUGGGAGAUCUAAUGUGAGGAAAUACUCUAAGCCCUGGACACGCAAUCUCUCACCUAUGGUGAAACCCUCCCGGGAGAGAUAGUCGAAAUCGACAUAUCUCCCGGUGGUGACGGCCUUCCCGGCGCACGGCCUCGCG
This 341-nucleotide long non-coding RNA is filed under the name Phoenix dactylifera (date palm). Its description in RNAcentral is "long non-coding RNA (PDAC_LNC015011)". The record is from RNAcentral. Lineage: Eukaryota; Viridiplantae; Streptophyta; Magnoliopsida; Arecales; Arecaceae.